GCCUGGCUAGCUCAGUCGGUAGAGCAUGAGAGGUUUAAUCUCAGGAUUGUGGGUUUGACCCCCACGCUGGGCA
Ameiurus melas (black bullhead) is the source of this 73-nucleotide non-coding RNA. The record is from the annotation of a GenBank genome assembly. Lineage: Eukaryota; Metazoa; Chordata; Actinopteri; Siluriformes; Ictaluridae.